RNAcentral lists this ribosomal RNA (253 nucleotides) under uncultured bacterium. RNAcentral's name for it is "partial 16S ribosomal RNA". It matches the Rfam family "Bacterial small subunit ribosomal RNA", at positions 524 to 776 of the family's 1533-position model. The record is from RNAcentral.
UACAGAGGCCUCGAGCGUUAGGCGGAAUCACUGGGCUUAAGGCGUGUGUAGGCGGACUUCUAAGUACCUUGUGAAAUCCCACGGCUCACCCGUGGAACUGCUUGGUAUACUGGUUGUCUUGAGCCUUCUAGGGGCGAGUGGAACAAAUGGUGGAGCGGUGAAAUGCGUAGAUAUCAUUUGGAACGCCAAUGGUGAAAACAACUCGCUGGGGAAGUGCUGACGCUGAGACACGAAAGCCAGGGGAGCGAACGGG